Molecule: ribosomal RNA, 468 nt
Filed under: uncultured bacterium
Lineage: Bacteria
Description: partial 16S ribosomal RNA
Rfam family: Bacterial small subunit ribosomal RNA
Source: RNAcentral
GACGAACGCUGGCGGCGUGCUUAACACAUGCAAGUCGAACGGAAAGGCCCUGCUUUUGUGGGGUGCUCGAAUGGCGAACGGGUGAGUAACACGUGAGUAACCUGCCCUUGACUUUGGGAUAACUUCAGGAAACUGGGGCUAAUACCGGAUAGGAGCUCCUGCUGCAUGGUGGGGGUUGGAAGGUUUCGGCGGUUGGGGAUGGACUCGCGGCUUAUCAGCUUGUUGGUGGGGUAGUGGCUUACCAAGGCUUUGACGGGUAGCCGGCCUGAGAGGGUGACCGGCCACAUUGGGACUGAGAUACGGCCCAGACUCCUACGGGAGGCAGCAGUGGGGAAUAUUGCACAAUGGGCGGAAGCCUGAUGCAGCAACGCCGCGUGCGGGAUGACGGCCUUCGGGUUGUAAACCGCUUUCGCCUGUGACGAAGCGUGAGUGACGGUAAUGGGUAAAGAAGCACCGGCUAACUACGUG